Molecule: ribosomal RNA, 424 nt
Filed under: Escherichia coli
Lineage: Bacteria; Pseudomonadati; Pseudomonadota; Gammaproteobacteria; Enterobacterales; Enterobacteriaceae
Description: bacterial SSU rRNA
Rfam family: Bacterial small subunit ribosomal RNA
Source: RNAcentral
ACCUUCGGGCCUCUUGCCAUCGGAUGUGCCCAGAUGGGAUUAGCUAGUAGGUGGGGUAAAGGCUCACCUAGGCGACGAUCCCUAGCUGGUCUGAGAGGAUGACCAGCCACACUGGAACUGAGACACGGUCCAGACUCCUACGGGAGGCAGCAGUGGGGAAUAUUGCACAAUGGGCGCAAGCCUGAUGCAGCCAUGCCGCGUGUAUGAAGAAGGCCUUCGGGUUGUAAAGUACUUUCAGCGGGGAGGAAGGGAGUAAAGUUAAUACCUUUGCUCAUUGACGUUACCCGCAGAAGAAGCACCGGCUAACUCCGUGCCAGCAGCCGCGGUAAUACGGAGGGUGCAAGCGUUAAUCGGAAUUACUGGGCGUAAAGCGCACGCAGGCGGUUUGUUAAGUCAGAUGUGAAAUCCCCGGGCUCAACCUGGG